AGAGUUUGAUUCUGGCUCAGGAUGAACGCUGGCGGCGUGCUUAACACAUGCAAGUCGAGCGAAGCGGUUUCAAUGAAGUUUUCGGAUGGAAUUGAAAUUGACUUAGCGGCGGACGGGUGAGUAACGCGUGGGUAACCUGCCUUACACUGGGGGAUAACAGUUAGAAAUGACUGCUAAUACCGCAUAAGCGCACAGGGCCGCAUGGUCUGGUGUGAAAAACUCCGGUGGUGUAAGAUGGACCCGCGUCUGAUUAGGUAGUUGGUGGGGUAACGGCCCACCAAGCCGACGAUCAGUAGCCGACCUGAGAGGGUGACCGGCCACAUUGGGACUGAGACACGGCCCAA
This 344-nucleotide ribosomal RNA is filed under the name uncultured bacterium. RNAcentral's name for it is "bacterial SSU rRNA". It matches the Rfam family "Bacterial small subunit ribosomal RNA", at positions 8 to 334 of the family's 1533-position model. The record is from RNAcentral.